This 446-nucleotide ribosomal RNA is filed under the name uncultured bacterium. RNAcentral describes it as "SSU rRNA". It matches the Rfam family "Bacterial small subunit ribosomal RNA", at positions 26 to 517 of the family's 1533-position model. The record is from RNAcentral.
AGGAUGAACGCUGGCGGCGUGCCUAAGACAUGCAAGUCGAGUGGGUUUAGACCCACGGCGAACGGGUGAGUAAUACCUAGGAACUUUCUUUAAGUGGAGCAUAAUCAGUCGAAAGAUUGGAUAAUUCUUCAUGUGGCAGUAAUGCUAAAGUCGCAAGACGCUUAAAGUGAGGCCUGGGUACCAUCAGCUAGUUGGUAAGGUAAUGGCUUACCAAGGCUAUGACGGUUAGGGGUCCCGAGAGGGAUAACCCCCCACAUUGGAACUGCGACACGGUCCAGACUCCUACGGGAGGCAGCAGUUUGGAAUUUUGGACAAUGGGCGAAAGCCUGAUCCAGCGACGCCGCGUGGACGAUGAAGGCCUUCGGGUCGUAAAGUCCUUUUGCUCGGGAACAAUAUUUUGAGCGUACCGAGAGAAUAAGAGGUUGCUAACUCUGUGCCAGCAGCCG